Molecule: ribosomal RNA, 254 nt
Filed under: uncultured bacterium
Lineage: Bacteria
Description: partial 16S ribosomal RNA
Rfam family: Bacterial small subunit ribosomal RNA
Source: RNAcentral
CACGUAGGGGGCGAGCGUUGUCCGGAUUUAUUGGGCGUAAAGAGCUCGUAGGCGGUUCGGCAAGUCGGGUGUGAAAUUUCGAGGCUCAACCUCGAAACGCCACUCGAUACUGCUGUGACUGGAGUCCGGUAGAGGAGUGCGGAAUUCCUGGUGUAGCGGUGAAAUGCGUAGAUAUCGGGAGGAACACCAGUGGCGAAGGCGACUUCCUGGCCUGUUCUUGACGCUGAGGCGCGAAAGCUAGGGGAGCAAACGGG